This 534-nucleotide long non-coding RNA is filed under the name Fukomys damarensis (Damara mole-rat). Its description in RNAcentral is "lncRNA (ENSFDAG00000022993.1)". Lineage: Eukaryota; Metazoa; Chordata; Mammalia; Rodentia; Bathyergidae. The record is from RNAcentral.
GCCUUUCAGAACUAUCUUGUGAAGUCAUCCCGCUACCCAGAUUACCCUGUUUAUACGUAAUCCUACCAGAGCUGGGAUCUUAGGUGUCUUGUUCACUGCUGGAACUCAUACAUCGAAGAGUGCCUGCCUCAACAUAUCUGUCACAAUAAAUGGAGAAAAAGUACAAAGGAAAAAAAGACUAAUCGACCCCACAAGUGCACAGAAAAUUGAGAAAAAAUUGCACAACUCGUAUUUUAGACAUAUGGUUAAUUAAAAAUAGCAAGAGAAAGACCAUGGUCAAAAGUCAAGUGUGUAAAGGCGGAUAGGAAAAAAAAAAAGAAAAGAAAAGAAAUGGAAAUAUAACAACACAUGAAAAAUGCUCAACUUGAAAAAAGAGAAGGGCAAAUUAAAAAUACUCAAGAAUGACAGUAACCACCUACAAUGCUGAUAAAAUUCUAAAAUUUAUGUAUUGUUGAGGCUACAGGAAUGUGGGUACAGUACUAUUCUACAUUUUGGCAUGAUCUGUGCAGGGAGGUGGUCCAGAUAAAGAAGAAG